CUAAUCACUCAUUUUUUUCACACCGUCAUCCCAAAAACCAAAAAUUGCUGUGUAGAUCAUUCCUUCUCAUCUUCAGUACAUUGAUUCAUGAAUGUGUUAGUAUCUAAAAUACCACACAUCGCGAUUAGGGUUUUCUUCAAUGUAUCUACUCCUGCAUUGCUCCUCCAUCUCUGUGUGGAUCUGAUCGUUAAUAUCAUCAUAAAGAUUUCGAAAAUUAAUCAACUAUCAUCAUUUGAUACCCAAUUGGAGCAACAUGCUUAUUCUUCAUGGUAACCCUAAUUCUUUUAGCGUAGCCUUUUCGUGUCUGAAAAUCAAGGUACCCGUAUCUCUAACCCUAAUUUUAUCAAAUUCAUUAUCAUGUAUUCAAAAUCUCAUUGUUCUAUUUCUGAUUCAUGUUGUUCAACAUCGCAAAUCCGACCACUGGAUGCCAAAAGAAGUUUUAAAUCGAUGAUGACCAAAAGUUGGUUUUUUUUUGUUCAAAUUUGUUACAUCAUAUAUAGUGCUGGAAGGAGAUCCUAUCUUAGUUUAAAGUGGGCUGAACGGGCUUGAAUUGCUGUUAACAAGAUUCCAGGUAUAUAUGUUCUUCAUUGCUAUCUGCCUUUGGUUCCAUUCAGGUAGGAAAUUUUACAUCUCCGAGUGGACAGGCGAGAGCUAUGCAGGGCAUUCUGUUCCUCAAUUAAGCCAAGCCAUUGUGAGAUACAACAAAGCAAACACAGGAAGUCCCAUUAAUAUCAAGGGUUACAUGGUGGGGAAUGCCUUAACGGAUGAUUAUAGUGAUCAUGUUGGACUUUUCCAAUUUAUGUGGGCCGCUGGUCUGAUUCUUGACCAAACUUACAAGAAAGCAAACGAAUUAUGUGACAAGGAAUCGUUUAUUCACCCCCACCUGAGUGUCAGCGGAUAACAGAUAUUGCUUAUGAUGAAAUGGGUGAUAUUGAUGCUUAUAGCAUCUUUACUCCUACUUGCACUGGCAACGGUGUCACAAAGCGGCUUCGAAGAAAAUGGUAUAGGGUAGGGCAUAUUGGGCAGAGUUAUGAUCCUUGCACCGAACAACACUCCAUAGCUUACUUUAAUUUACCGGAGGUUCAAAACACGCUUCAUGCUUAUCGUUUUAACUCAUCAAAAACCUGGGUAACCUGCAGCGGUGUUGUGGGGAUGUACUGGCAAGAUUCUCCUAUAUCUGUGCUUGAUGUCUAUCAAGAACUUAUAAUUUCAGGACUUCGUAUAUGGAUGUUCAGUGGUGAUACGGAUGCAGUGAUUCCUACCGCUUCUACACGUUAUAGCAUAUACGCUCUCAACCUUACGACAAUCAGCCCAUGGCGUGCCUGGUAUGAAGAUGCCCAGGUUUUACAUGGAAGAUUGAAACUUGAGCCUUCAUCUUGUAACGGAAAUGUGAACUGCAGUGGAAAUGUUCAUCAACCUAUGCUAUUCUCACAUUUAACAGGAUUUAGACCGGUAUAUCCACCUUAUGCAAAUGGAAGAUGUAUGCACACGCUCAUGAUUAUAAUAUCAACUCUAUUUCUAUAAAUAGUGACGGGGAGACGUUUAUUUCUGCGGAUGACCUUAGGAUAAACUUAUGGAAUCUUGAGGUUAGUGACCAAUGUUUUAAUAUCAUCGACAUGAAGCCGUCAAAUACGGAGGAUCUUACAGGAUAAGAAACCUGCAAACUUUCUUGUAACAUCCCUCCGAGUAGAGAAGUUAUCAACAAAUGUGUUUGCCACUAAGGUAUUAUGUCAUUUUAAUAUAGAGUAAAGUACACGAAUGGUCCCUGUUGUUUACAUAAACUUUUUAUUUGGUCCCUAGCUUUAUAAAAGUACACGGAUGGUUCCUGUGGUUUGAACUUUGUAACGCAUUUAGUCCCAAGCCAACAAAUCUAAAGGUUUUAGCAUGUCCAAGUUAGGGACUAAAUGCUUUACAAAGUGCAAACCAUAGGGACAGAUGCAUACGUGCAAAUAUAAUGCCAUCAACCCGUUUGGAACAGAUGCAUACGUGCGUUAUAUGCUUCUUAAAAGGCUGCAAGAGUAAGUUACCAUAAUACCAUAUCCAUAUCCUAAAUUUUUUGUUUAAAAAUUGAGCAUGUGAAACAGACGUACCAAAAUAGAAGAUGGCAACAAGAUGAUCCAAGGAGUGGGUGUGGAGUCUCUUUCUGAAGAGGAGCUUCAUCAAGCAUGUUGGGAUCGUGGCUUACUUGGAUUGUGCUCGGUUGAUAAAAUGAAGCAACAGCUUAUUUUGAAAUAACAAAUAAGUUUAAAUAUUUGUAUUGUCAUAACAAAAAAUUAAAAGGGUUUAUACUUAUUAUUGCAGAUUCGUGAUUCGUUGGACUUCUCCCUUAACCAUUCAGUACCAUCUUCGUUAGGAUUCUCACACCGAUACUUUUGAGGCUAGCCAACAUAAGAAGCUAGCGGAAAAAAAGGAUGCUGGUGAUUAUCACUCUCGGAAGCUUUGGGGCAAUCACUCAGUUUAAAUCGAUUCUUCCAGAUAGAAAAACGAAAGUCGACAUCUCUCUAGCUGGCCCAUUUGUAGGGUCCGCACUAUCACUUUCAAUGUUUGUUGUUGGGCUGCUACUUUCUUUAAAACCAGAAACUACAGCUGUUAUGGUGCAGGUUCCUAGCAUGCCUUUUCAGGGCUCUCUACUCCUCGGGCUCUUUAGUAGAGCAACUUUAGGUUAUACGUACAUCUUCCUGCUUCACAAUAUUGCAAGAUGCUGGAAGAUGUAUUCACACGCUCAUGAUUAUAAUAUCAACUGUAUUUCUAUAAAUAGGAAAAACUUAUGGAAUCUUGAGGUUAGUGACCAAUGUUUUGAUAUCAUCGACAUGAAGCCGUCAAAUAUAGAGGAUCUUACAGUUGUCUCAGUUUAGAAACAACGCAAGGCUGAAAACGAUACGAUGAUCAAAUGACGAACGACUCUCCAAAGGUACGUUUCAGAUGGGAAGUAGAAAGUUCAACAUUUCCGUCCACAUUAUUGGUUUCUUCACCAAUAAGAACGUCAUUGUGAAUUUUGAUAAAACACCUGUUGGAGGUGAACAACGUACGAAAGUGACGCGAUAGAUUACUGAUAGUGUGGAUUUGAAGUGUGGGAUCAGCAAUCCAGCUCAGAAGGCUUAUUUUUCCAAGUUUCCGGGUUGAGUUUGAAAUUGUUUGAUGUUUUAUAUCAUCUAACACUAAGAUUGAUUCAUAUACCAUUAAAGAUGCUUAGAGAUGUCGUAUGGGGUGUUUUAUGAAUUGUAACUUUUGGUGCAAAUAUCAAUUCUGGUGAUGUACAAAUCAAUUUGAAAUUUUGUGCAUAGAGUUUGAUUGAUGAAUAUAAGUUGUUUUACUUUAAUA
RNA transcript from Helianthus annuus (common sunflower), 3321 nucleotides. RefSeq lists it as uncharacterized. NCBI's taxonomy places the organism in Eukaryota, Viridiplantae, Streptophyta, Magnoliopsida, Asterales, Asteraceae. The transcript is spliced from 15 exons. The record is from RefSeq and is a predicted model, not a curated record.